Cordylochernes scorpioides is the source of this 92-nucleotide non-coding RNA. The record is from the annotation of a GenBank genome assembly. NCBI's taxonomy places the organism in Eukaryota, Metazoa, Arthropoda, Arachnida, Pseudoscorpiones, Chernetidae.
GAGAAUUCAAAGACAAAGAGGAUAAGUUUCUUUAUAUAUAAAUUCUAUAUAUAUUAUAUAAAGAAACUUAUUAACUUUAUCUUUGAAUUCUC